This 1115-nucleotide long non-coding RNA is filed under the name Meleagris gallopavo (turkey). RNAcentral describes it as "lncRNA (ENSMGAG00000019458.1)". The record is from RNAcentral. Lineage: Eukaryota; Metazoa; Chordata; Aves; Galliformes; Phasianidae.
CAAUUAUUUUGUGAUAAAGUGCUUAUUAAGGAGAAUAUGUGGCCAAGUGGAAAGAAAAGGCCCAGGCAGAUGGGAAAGUGCUUUGGAAAGUUUUUUAAGGCACUCCUACUUGUGCUUUUGGGAGAAAAGAAAACUGCAAUUUUUAAAGUAUCUUCUUAGAGGUUUUCCUGUUUGUGUGAAGAUGCUUGCGUUCUUGCAGUGGAGGAAAAGGAGUGGAAUUGAAGCGUUAGAAGUUUUCAUUUCCCCUGCAAUACGGAAAGCCUCAGGGCUCUGCACUCUACUGGAGUUCUCUGCCAAAAGGUGCUUCAAAGUGCUGAGAAUCCAGCUCUUGCUUCUUGGCAGUUAGAUUCUGCCUUCGUCUCCGACUCCAGAAUUUUUAUGUGCUGUCAGUCUGCGUUGUGCCCCACCUCCAAGUGAUUCUGUGAGGCUGCACCUGAGAGGGCUAUUUGUGCAAGUUCAUUAUCUCUUCCUACUCUCCUGUGAGUAACUCAAUGUGAUUUUUCACUCUCUUGAACCUCCUGCCAGGAGUUUGCAGUGACAGCACUCUCAGGUGGAGAUCUGCAGCAACACCUCCAAAAUUAAAGCUGAUCAUCACGACAGUGUAAAUAUUUGGUUUAAGCUUCAGAUCACCAAUCUGUAACAUAACACACGGUUCCAUUUACCUGUGGCUUGUAGAAUAUGUAGCUGCUGGCUGAAAGACAGAUUUUAUUAAAGAGGUUGUGUAUCUUUUAGAUGCAAUAGCACUAGGAAAGGGAAACUUUUGAUUGUAGCUUUUUCUCAUUUUUGGAGCGACUUGUCUAAAGUAUAUGGAGCUGAAUUUCUCCGGGCCAUGUUUUGCUGUUAAGAUAUGUAAAUGAGUUUUGCUUUUUCUCAUAUGCAGCUGUCCCGGAGAUAAGUUGUAUUUGUUCUGUGGCAGGUGUAGCGUUUCUUUUAAUUUUAAUGUGAAUUAAGAGCUCAGGUAAAGAUUUUCUUUCUUUGUCUACUCUGCAGAUUUUCCUGGCUGUAUUCUUAUGGUAGCAAGGCAGCAUUCCCACCACUAUCUGCCCUGCUUCCAACACAUGGUUAAGUGCCAGCAUUAAGUUAGCAUGCUAUUGCAUGCAGUCAAGGCUGCUUGG